Molecule: non-coding RNA, 113 nt
Organism: Acanthosepion pharaonis
Lineage: Eukaryota; Metazoa; Mollusca; Cephalopoda; Sepiida; Sepiidae
Source: the annotation of a GenBank genome assembly
UACGGCCGUAUCACGUUGAAACACCGCUUCUCGUGCGAUCACUGAAGUUAAGCAACGUUGUGUCUUGUCAGUACCUAGAUGCGUGACCACUUGGAAAUACCAGGUGCUGUAAG